Molecule: ribosomal RNA, 269 nt
Filed under: uncultured prokaryote
Description: partial 16S ribosomal RNA
Rfam family: Bacterial small subunit ribosomal RNA
Source: RNAcentral
UACGAAGGUGGCAAGCGUUGUUCGGAAUUACUGGGCUUAAAGCGCACGUAGGCGGAAUGGAAAGUGUCUUGUGAAAGCCCUCGGCUUAACCGGGGAAUUGCUUGGCAAACUGCCAUUCUUGAGGCAAGUAGGGGUGCAUGGAACUCUUGGUGGAGCGGUGGAAUGCGUAGAUAUCAAGAGGAACGCCAACGGUGAAGACAGUGCACUGGGCUUGUCCUGACGCUGAGGUGCGAAAGCGUGGGGAGCGAACGGGAUUAGAUACCCCUGUA